This 207-nucleotide ribosomal RNA is filed under the name uncultured bacterium. RNAcentral describes it as "partial 16S ribosomal RNA". It matches the Rfam family "Bacterial small subunit ribosomal RNA", at positions 568 to 774 of the family's 1533-position model. The record is from RNAcentral.
UCUGUAGGUGGUUUAAUAAGUCAACUGUUAAAUCUUGAGGCUCAACCUCAAAAUCGCAGUCGAAACUACUAGACUAGAGUAUAGUAGGGGUAAAGGGAAUUUCCAGUGGAGCGGUGAAAUGCGUAGAUAUUGGAAGGAACACCGAUGGCGAAGGCACUUUACUGGGCUAUUACUAACACUCAGAGACGAAAGCUAGGGUAGCAAAUG